RNAcentral lists this ribosomal RNA (467 nucleotides) under uncultured bacterium. RNAcentral describes it as "partial 16S ribosomal RNA". It matches the Rfam family "Bacterial small subunit ribosomal RNA", at positions 28 to 506 of the family's 1533-position model. The record is from RNAcentral.
GACGAACGCUGGCGGCGUGCUUAACACAUGCAAGUCGAACGGUGAAGCUCCAGCUUGCUGGAGUGGAUCAGUGGCGAACGGGUGAGUAACACGUGAGCAACCUGCCCCAGACUCUGGAAUAAGCGCUGGAAACGGCGUCUAAUACUGGAUACGAGAUCAAGCCGCAUGGUUAUGGUCUGGAAAGUUUUUCGGUUUGGGAUGGGCUCGCGGCCUAUCAGCUUGUUGGUGAGGUAAUGGCUCACCAAGGCGACGACGGGUAGCCGGCCUGAGAGGGCGACCGGCCACACUGGGACUGAGACACGGCCCAGACUCCUACGGGAGGCAACAGUGGGGAAUAUUGCACAAUGGGCGAAAGCCUGAUGCAGCGACGCCGCGUGGGGGAUGACGGCCUUCGGGUUGUAAACCUCUUUCAGCAGGGAAGAAGCGAAAGUGACGGUACCUGCAGAAGAAGCACCGGCUAACUACGU